GCCAGUGUGGUGUAGUGGUUUAUUCGCUGGACUAUGUCUUUGGGGACCAGGGUUCGAAUCCCUGCUCAGCCA
Non-coding RNA from Phrynosoma platyrhinos (Desert horned lizard), 72 nucleotides. NCBI's taxonomy places the organism in Eukaryota, Metazoa, Chordata, Lepidosauria, Squamata, Phrynosomatidae. The record is from the annotation of a GenBank genome assembly.